Molecule: ribosomal RNA, 253 nt
Filed under: uncultured bacterium
Lineage: Bacteria
Description: partial 16S ribosomal RNA
Rfam family: Bacterial small subunit ribosomal RNA
Source: RNAcentral
UACGGAGGGGGCUAGCGUUGUUCGGAAUUACUGGGCGUAAAGCGUACGUAGGCGGCUUUGUAAGUUAGAGGUGAAAGCCCGGGGCUCAACCCCGGAAUUGCCUUUGAUACUGAGGAUCUUGAGUUCGGGAGAGGUGAGUGGAACUGCGAGUGUAGAGGUGAAAUUCGUAGAUAUUCGCAAGAACACCAGUGGCGAAGGCGACUCACUGGGCACAUAUUGACGCUGAGGUGCGAAAGCGUGGGGAGCAAACAGG